This 378-nucleotide long non-coding RNA is filed under the name Mytilus galloprovincialis (Mediterranean mussel). The record is from RNAcentral. Lineage: Eukaryota; Metazoa; Mollusca; Bivalvia; Mytilida; Mytilidae.
GCUGGCAGUUUGGAAAUAGAGUACAUAUCAACAAUUGUCCAUCUUUCCCACAUAGAAAAAUUUACAACUUAAAACGGGUCAAAAGAAAAAAUAAAGACCCUGUUUACAUACUUCUUCAAUGGAAUUGCAUUGAUUCUAUCAAUUAAAUGAGGACAAGGGACAUUUAUAGUUGUGCUGUGACGUUGUUACAACGUUUUAUGAUGGUAAUAAAUUACGUCACAAAUUACGUUGUGCCAACGUUGUGUGGAUGGUUGUCAGCACGUGCCUUGGAGUUCACAAAACUACGUUGUACCAACGUAAUUUUACUACGUUGUCACAACGAUAGUAUUACGUUGUCACAACGUAAUGUCAACGUUGGAUUGUUUACUGGGCAUACAU